CAAACUCACAGAUGGCAAAGAAGACUUUUUUUAUCCGGAAAUGGGAAGGGAGCAUAAUUCCAAAGCUCAAGGAAAUAGCAUCCUUGGAGAAGAAAAAUGACAUACAACACUUGCUGGAGAAAGCCGACAAUCAGCAAGAUGAUGAGCUGUGCUACACUAUGUUGAAGAUCCUCAUUCAUCUUCUUCCACCCACGGCAUCUGGGAGAAGUGUUGCUGGCAGUAAAUGCUGUGUGAACUCUGCAGUCUCAUACCUGUUAGAGCAAGUGCCGGCUGGUACCAAUGUGACCUCCUUGCUCAGUGAAUCCAUGAAAGGGUCCCUGAAGUCAGCUCAGCCGCAGUUGGUUUCCAUCGGUUCUCUAGAACGUGAAGCACAGUACGUAAUUGUGGCAAAGAAUGAUUCUUUUGCCCUUCCACUUGAUGUUGAAAGCCUGACCUGUGCUGUAGACAGACUUUUCAAAUUCUUCUGGCUGUGCAAUCUUCAGUAUCCAUGCCAACUGACAAAUUGCUUGACAAACUUAAGACAGACUCUCACUUAUACCAGUUCAGUUCAUGUGGCUAAUACUAUCAGUUUUUUUGUGGACAACAUACAGGACAGGAUACGUUCUGACUUUAAAAGCAGAUGAAAGGGGAGAACCAUUAUUUGGUGAAGUUAUACACAUUAUUCCCCAAAGCGAAAGAGAAUGUGCACUUAUGUUCCUGAGAGUUUUAAGAGUUAAAUAUUUUGAUGAACACCUUUUUUCCUUCAAUGUCAUCAGAACCAAAGAUUUUGACAUGGCAAAGAUGCCUGGUGACUUAAUAGAUUACAGACCUUUAAAUAUUGUAUAAUUUUGUGAUCAGCAGUAUGUAACUCCUAAAUACAAAAUUUUGUUUAAACAUGUUGGUGGUUGAAACUGUUGAACACAUUGUGUUUUGACCAGAUUUGACAAUGAAUUGUUUUGUUAACAUGAUCACCUAUAGGUGAAUGCAUAAACAGUAAUUGUGUAAUGGUUAUUUCUUUGAAUACAGUUUUUAGGUUAAUUAAAUGUAUUUUUUUCUGUAUGAAAAUGAAAUGUUGGUACACUUGAGAAUAAGUUCAGAAAAUGUGGUACUUUAUAUGUUGGAAACUGUUUCAUACAUAUUUGACGUUUUAUUUGACUGCUUAACAGAUAUGAGUUUUAUAAUAUUUGAUGAAUGUUUUUUAUAAUGUAUGAUGUGUUGAAAUGCUUAUUUCACAAGUUUAUAGUCAGUAACAUUUGAGUGCAUUAAUUCCAUGUUAAAAAGGAAAACAAAUAAACAGUAUGUGAGCAGUGUCUAAUUGUUUCCUGUGAGAUUUCAUAAUUAAUGUACACAAAUUGUUAAUUGAUCUAACAUUUGUAAUAAAUUUUAUAUUAACAUAUAUUAAACAAUUUCUAAGUAACACACAGUUGUGUUAAAUACAUACAAAAAAACACAUCAAUGUGUUUACUUAAGCUGCACAUUUAUGUGUUACAUUUUAUAACACGUUUUGUGUGUUGAAUUUAACUCAACAUGUGUUGUCCCUGAGCACACUCAGAACAUGUGUUAAAAAUAACACAUGUUGUGUUGUUUUCAACACAUUUGUUUUAAGAGUGUAAUUAUAAAAAAAAAAAAAAAUAAAUAAAAAAAAAAAAAAACGCAAACAA
This is a long non-coding RNA of Ctenopharyngodon idella (grass carp), 1640 nucleotides long. RefSeq lists it as uncharacterized. NCBI's taxonomy places the organism in Eukaryota, Metazoa, Chordata, Actinopteri, Cypriniformes, Xenocyprididae. The transcript is spliced from 3 exons. The record is from RefSeq and is a predicted model, not a curated record.